Molecule: ribosomal RNA, 496 nt
Filed under: uncultured bacterium
Lineage: Bacteria
Description: partial 16S ribosomal RNA
Rfam family: Bacterial small subunit ribosomal RNA
Source: RNAcentral
GAUGAACGCUGGCGGCGUGCCUAAUACAUGCAAGUCGAGCGAACGGACGAGAAGCUUGCUUCUCUGAUGUUAGCGGCGGACGGGUGAGUAACACGUGGAUAACCUACCUAUAAGACUGGGAUAACUUCGGGAAACCGGAGCUAAACCGGAUGAUAUUUUGAACCGCAUGGUUCAAAAGUGAAAGACGGUCUUGCUGUCACUUAUAGAUGGAUCCGCGCUGCAUUAGCUAGUUGGUAAGGUAACGGCUUACCAAGGCAACGAUGCAUAGCCGACCUGAGAGGGUGAUCGGCCACACUGGAACUGAGACACGGUCCAGACUCCUACGGGAGGCAGCAGUAGGGAAUCUUCCGCAAUGGGCGAAAGCCUGACGGAGCAACGCCGCGUGAGUGAUGAAGGUCUUCGGAUCGUAAAACUCUGUUAUUAGGGAAGAACAUAUGUGUAAGUAACUGUGCACAUCUUGACGGUACCUAAUCAGAAAGCCACGGCUAACUACGUG